This 1249-nucleotide ribosomal RNA is filed under the name metagenome. Its description in RNAcentral is "bacterial LSU rRNA". It matches the Rfam family "Bacterial large subunit ribosomal RNA", at positions 1638 to 2876 of the family's 2925-position model. The record is from RNAcentral.
ACGACCGUACCGCAAACCGACACUGGUGCGCGAGAUGAGUAUUCUAAGGCGCUUGAGAGAACUCAGGAGAAGGAACUCGGCAAAUUGACACCGUAACUUCGGAAGAAGGUGUGCCUUUAGUAGGUGAACCAUUUACUUGGGGAGCCCAAUGAGGCUGCAAAAAAUCGGUGGCUGCAACUGUUUAUUAAAAACACAGCACUCUGCUAAGACGAAAGUCGACGUAUAGGGUGUGACGCCUGCCCGGUGCUGGAAGAUUAAAUGAUGGGGUGCAAGCUCUUGAUUGAAGUCCCAGUAAACGGCGGCCGUAACGAUAACGGUCCUAAGGUAGCGAAAUUCCUUGUCGGGUAAGUUCCGACCUGCACGAAUGGCGUAAUGAUGGCCACACUGUCUCCUCCUGAGACUCAGCGAAGUUGAAAUGUUUGUGAUGAUGCAAUCUCCCCGCGGAAAGACGGAAAGACCCCAUGAACCUUUACUGUAGCUUUGUAUUGGACUUUGAACAGAUCUGUGUAGGAUAGGUGGGAGGCUUUGAAGUGUGGUCGCUAGAUCGCAUGGAGCCAACGUUGAAAUACCACCCUGGUGUGUUUGAGGUUCUAACCUAGGUCCAUUAUCUGGAUCGGGGACAGUGCAUGGUAGGCAGUUUGACUGGGGCGGUCUCCUCCCAAAGUGUAACGGAGGAGUUCGAAGGUACGCUAGGUACGGUCGGACAUCGUGCUAAUAGUGCAAUGGCAUAAGCGUGCUUAACUGCGAGACUGACAAGUCGAGCAGAUGCGAAAGCAGGACAUAGUGAUCCGGUGGUUCUGUAUGGAAGGGCCAUCGCUCAACGGAUAAAAGGUACUCUGGGGAUAACAGGCUGAUACCGCCCAAGAGUUCAUAUCGACGGCGGUGUUUGGCACCUCGAUGUCGGCUCAUCUCAUCCUGGGGCUGUAGCCGGUCCCAAGGGUAUGGCUGUUCGCCAUUUAAAGAGGUACGUGAGCUGGGUUUAAAACGUCGUGAGACAGUUUGGUCCCUAUCUUCCGUGGGCGCUGCAGAUUUGAGGAAGCCUGCUCCUAGUACGAGAGGACCGGAGUGGACGAACCUCUGGUGUAUCGGUUGUCACGCCAGUGGCAUUGCCGAGUAGCUAAGUUCGGAAGAGAUAACCGCUGAAAGCAUCUAAGCGGGAAACUCGUUUCAAGAUUAGAUCUGCCGGGGCCUUGAGCCCCCUAAAGAGUCGUUCAAGACCAGGACGUUGAUAGGUCAGGUGUGGAAACAA